AUUUAAAUAGUUUAUUAAAAAUAUUAACUUGUGGAGUUAAAGAUAUAUGAAUAUAUUUUAAAUA
This 64-nucleotide transfer RNA is filed under the name Nanophyes sp. CG271. RNAcentral describes it as "tRNA-His". Lineage: Eukaryota; Metazoa; Arthropoda; Insecta; Coleoptera; Brentidae. The record is from RNAcentral.